RNAcentral lists this ribosomal RNA (301 nucleotides) under uncultured bacterium. RNAcentral's name for it is "partial 16S ribosomal RNA". It matches the Rfam family "Bacterial small subunit ribosomal RNA", at positions 509 to 807 of the family's 1533-position model. The record is from RNAcentral.
CAGCAGCCGCGGUAAUCCGGAGGGGGCUAGCGUUGUUCGGAAUUACUGGGCGUAAAGCGCACGUAGGCGGCUUGGUAAGUUAGAGGUGAAAGCCCAGGGCUCAACCCUGGAAUUGCCUUUAAGACUGCCGAGCUAGUAGGUGAGAGAGGUGAGUGGAAUUCCGAGUGUAGAGGUGAAAUUCGUAGAUAUUCGGAAGAACACCAGUGGCGAAGGCGGCUCACUGGCUCAUUCUAGACGCUGAGGUGCGAAAGCGUGGGGAGCAAACAGGAUUAGAUACCCCCGUAGUCCCUGUCUCUUAUAC